GAUUCGUUAGCUCAGCAGGUAGAGCAUCUGCCUUUUAAGCAGAGGGUCCCGAGUUCGAGCCUCGGACGAAUCACAA
RNAcentral lists this transfer RNA (76 nucleotides) under Marinilabiliales bacterium. RNAcentral's name for it is "tRNA-Lys". It matches the Rfam family "tRNA". From Rfam's summary of the family: Transfer RNA (tRNA) molecules are approximately 80 nucleotides in length. The record is from RNAcentral. Lineage: Bacteria; Pseudomonadati; Bacteroidota; Bacteroidia; Marinilabiliales.